AUGCUGUGGCAGACUCAGCUCCUCUGGCUCCUCGUGCUCUGGGCAAAGGGCUCCAGCGGGGACAUUGCUGUGACUCAGACUCCAGAGUCCCUGGCAGUGACUCCCGGGGGGACAGUCACCAUCAAGUGCAAAGCCAGUUCCAGUGUUGGCAGCAACAUGGCCUUGUACCAGCAGAAACCAGGGCAGGCUCCUAAGCAACUUUUAUAUGGAACAAACAACCGCCCCUCCGGGAUCCCCGACCGGUUCAGUGGCAGUGGGUCUGGCACCGACUUCACUUUCACCAUCAGCCGUGUGGAAGUGGAUGAUGCAGGAGAUUAUUACUGUCUACAGCACAACAACCUAUGA
Non-coding RNA from Alligator sinensis (Chinese alligator), 345 nucleotides. The record is from the annotation of a RefSeq genome assembly. Lineage: Eukaryota; Metazoa; Chordata; Crocodylia; Alligatoridae.